Molecule: ribosomal RNA, 301 nt
Filed under: uncultured bacterium
Lineage: Bacteria
Description: partial 16S ribosomal RNA
Rfam family: Bacterial small subunit ribosomal RNA
Source: RNAcentral
CAGCCGCCGCGGGAAUACGGAGGGUGCAAGCGUUAAUCGGAAUUACUGGGCGUAAUGCGUGCGUAGGCGGUUCGUUAAGUCUGUUGUGAAAGCCCCGGGCUCAACCUGGGAAUGGCAAUGGAUACUGGCGAGCUAGAGUGCGUCAGAGGAUGGUGGAAUUCCCGGUGUAGCGGUGAAAUGCGUAGAGAUCGGGAGGAAUACCGAUGGCGAAGGCGGCCCCCUGGACGAAGACUGACGCUCAGGUACGAAAGCGUGGGGAGCAAACAGGAUUAGAUACCCGCGUAGUCCCUGUCUCUUAUAC